This 242-nucleotide ribosomal RNA is filed under the name uncultured bacterium. RNAcentral describes it as "partial 16S ribosomal RNA". It matches the Rfam family "Bacterial small subunit ribosomal RNA", at positions 524 to 765 of the family's 1533-position model. The record is from RNAcentral.
UACAGAGGGGGCAAGCGUUGUUCGGAAUUACUGGGCGUAAAGGGCGCGUAGGCGGCCUUCUAAGUCGAACGUGAAAUCCCCGGGCUCAACCCGGGAACUGCGUCCGAUACUGGAAGGCUUGAAUCCGGGAGAGGGAUGUGGAAUUCCAGGUGUAGCGGUGAAAUGCGUAGAUAUCUGGAGGAACACCGGUGGCGAAGGCGACAUCCUGGACCGGUAUUGACGCUGAGGCGCGAAAGCCAGGG